Molecule: ribosomal RNA, 572 nt
Filed under: [Candida] sp. BG02-7-14-003-1-1
Lineage: Eukaryota; Fungi; Ascomycota; Saccharomycetes; Saccharomycetales
Also listed under: 1 other name
Description: eukaryotic LSU rRNA
Rfam family: Eukaryotic large subunit ribosomal RNA
Source: RNAcentral
AUAUCAAUAAGCGGAGGAAAAGAAACCAACAGGGAUUGCCUUAGUAACGGCGAGUGAAGCGGCAAAAGCUCAAAUUUGAAAUCUGGCACCUUCGGUGUCCGAGUUGUAAUUUGAAGAAGGUAACUUUGGAGUCAGCUCUUGUCUAUGUUCCUUGGAACAGGACGUCACAGAGGGUGAGAAUCCCGUGCGAUGAGAUGUCUGAUUCUAUGUAAAGUGCUUUCGAAGAGUCGAGUUGUUUGGGAAUGCAGCUCUAAGUGGGUGGUAAAUUCCAUCUAAAGCUAAAUAUUGGCGAGAGACCGAUAGCGAACAAGUACAGUGAUGGAAAGAUGAAAAGAACUUUGAAAAGAGAGUGAAAAAGUACGUGAAAUUGUUGAAAGGGAAGGGUUUGAGAUCAGACUUGGUAUUUUGUAUGUCUUGCUUUCGGGUGGGGCCUCUACAGUUUACUGGGCCAGCAUCGGUUUGGACGGUAGGAUAAUGACAUUGGAAUGUGGCACCACUUCGGUGGUGUGUUAUAGACUUUGUUGAUACUGCCUGUCUAGACCGAGGACUGCGUCUUUGACUAGGAUGCUGGC